CAGAGUUCAUGCCCUAACGGGUAGACCUCCCACCCUUGUGUAUUCAUACUUUGUUGCUUUGGCGGGUUGUACCUUGCGGUGCUUUAGGGCUCGCCCGCCCGCCGAAGAAAACCCAAAUUCUAAAUGUUAUUGUCGUCUGAGCAGUAUAUAAUAGUGA
This 157-nucleotide unclassified non-coding RNA is filed under the name uncultured Sclerotiniaceae. RNAcentral describes it as "sequence contains ITS1". The record is from RNAcentral. Lineage: Eukaryota; Fungi; Ascomycota; Leotiomycetes; Helotiales; Sclerotiniaceae.